GGGGGCUGGAGGGGAGGUGGGGGGGACGCCGAGCGUGUUUUCCAUCUGGCUCUCAAAGCUGACCUCGCUCCGCGUUGUCUUUGCAGUUUUAGCUUAUUCAGUGACACCUGUCGCCAGGUAGGACUCCCGUCCCCCUUCUCAUUGGGGGACAUCUUUCGAACCGCCCCAGAAGAGAAUCUGGGGAGACCAAGACUCAAAAAGCGUAGGGGUAUAGGUCUGCCCUGUCAUUGAUGUAGCCCCUGCUACUACACAUAGCCGGGAGCAGCCGACAGAUGGGCGUAGUCAGUGCCUCCGGGCCAGUGACGAAUCCCCUUCUUUCUCCUUUGAGGCGCCACAGGAUCUUCAAGGAGUUAUGACGCCCGCUUCCGAAAGACGAAACCCCGCGGACACGCACACUCGAGUCCUGGGCUCCGCGUCCCAGUGCUCUCUGUAGCACACCAAGGGCCGCGGCCAUCGGUGUUCUGGAGCUGAACAGGCUUGAGCUUUUCCCAGGCCUGAGGCGAGGUUCGAGGACGCGCAGAUGCCCGAGUCCCAGGUCGCGCCCCGCGUGCGGCCGGCUAGGUGCGGGCCUCGGGCACGGCGCCCCGCCCAGGCCCCGAGCCGCGUGCAGGGGCGCGGGGCGGAGUCUGCCCUGGGGGCGUGGCCCAGCCGCAGGCCCGAAGCGCGUGGCUGGGAGGGGCUGCGCGCGGCCCGUUCACCACGUGAGAGCGGGUGCUGGCCCCACCCGCGUGUGCCACCCCCGGGGGAGGUCACCUUCACCGAGUUGUGGGAGUGGGCGCUGAGGCCUCUAUCCUGGAAAGCAGGAGCUGACAGGGUUCGGGAAAAGGGUCUCAGAAGUGGCAUUCUCCUGGGAUUAACAGACUACUGGGUUACAGAAGUGAGCAGGAUAGAAUUUGGUUGUUUUGAGGUGGGUUUUCAUUGCUGCUGUUGUUUUGUACCAGAGAUUUAAUCCAGAAGUGCUUUAUUUUUUUUAUUUUUUGAGACAGGGAUUCACAAAAUUGCUCAGGACCUUGCUAAAUUGCUGAAGCUGACCUCAAACUUUAAAUCCGCCUGACUCAGCCUAUUAGUUGCUGGGAUUACAGGCAUGUGCCACCACACCUGGCUCUGUAGAUCCUUAAGAGAUACUUGGGGAUAACCGAAAGGACCAGAUGAACAAAUAAAACCCUUUCACUUAGUUGUGCUAUAAAGAAAAUAAAGCAAGGUAAUAGAGUGGAUGACUGAGAUUGAGGAAAUGAUGGAGAUUAGGGGUGAGUUUAGAUCUCAAAAAAGAUAAGGAAUCAUCUACAAAAAGAUCUGAGGCAGGGAGAACAUUCCAGGCAAAGAGCAAAUGCAAGGGGAUGGAAAUGAGAAAGAAAUAGGGGUACAGGCAUUGAGGGAUAUUCCAGGCAUGGAAAGACUACAAAACCAGAGACCUUAUGUACCAGCCAUGCACAGGAGCAACUGGAAAGACCGGGGCCGGAGGGUAAUAUGGUGAUUAGGCCUUAGAAAAUUAUGUGGAGUCAGGGAAAGUUUCUUAGUUGCAGGGAAUUAUAAUCAGAGUUGUGCUUUAGGUAGAUGACGGUUUCAUAUGUUGUGGAUGGAUUGGAGGAGAGAAAUUUGGAAAGGGAAAGAUCACAUAUUUUUUGACACAAAAAAUAUGUGUACAGUUUUUGCUAUUCUAAUUCUUCCUCUCCUCCCCCAGUGAAGUGCAACUAUACCUAGUGGCUUGCUUCUGAUGAACAGAAUGUGGCAGAAAUGAUGCUGUGUGACAUUCGUGACAGGGCGCAGGUUUUGUGAUUUCCUCCUUGCUUUCUAUCUUGUAUCGCGUUUUCUGGGAGAAGCCACCUGCCAUGUUGUAAGGACACACUCAAGCAGCCCUGUGGGAAAGCUCAAGUGGCAAGGGACUGGGGCCUUCUGCCAAUAGCCAUGUGAGUGUGCCAUCUUGGAAUAGAUCCUCCAGCCCCCUUUUUUAAGUCAAACCUUUGGAGGACUGUGGCCCUGGCUGACAUCUCGACUACGGCCUCCUGGGAGACCCUUAGCUGGAACCACCCAGCUCAACUCUUUCCAGAUUGAUGAUCUACAGAAACUGAGAUGGUGUUUGCUUUGGUAAGCCUCUAAGUUUGUGAAUAAUAUAUUAUGUAGCCAGUAGAUAUAGUAGAACCCACUUAUCCUAGGGGAUACCCCUCAAGACUCCCAGCAAAUGCUUAAACUGUGGUUAGUACCAAACCCUGCAUUUAUAUUUUUUCCUGUGGAUUGUUAAAUACACAAAUGUAAUACCUUUUCCUUUAUCACCAAGCACUUAUGCACUGUGGGUGUAAUUUUUGCAGUUUGAGGUGUAGAAGCAAAACUAGCAUGAAUUUCUUUUCCUUCUUCACAAU
RNAcentral lists this long non-coding RNA (2357 nucleotides) under Ictidomys tridecemlineatus (thirteen-lined ground squirrel). RNAcentral's name for it is "lncRNA (ENSSTOG00000031781.1)". Lineage: Eukaryota; Metazoa; Chordata; Mammalia; Rodentia; Sciuridae. The record is from RNAcentral.